RNAcentral lists this non-coding RNA (28 nucleotides) under Mus musculus (house mouse). Lineage: Eukaryota; Metazoa; Chordata; Mammalia; Rodentia; Muridae. The record is from RNAcentral.
UAGCAAUCGGGGUGUGCGUCCAUACAGC